CCCUUAGAUGUUCGGGGCCGCACGCGCGCUACACUGAAGGAAUCAGCACGUCUUUCUCCUUGUCCGAAAGGACUGGGUAACCCGCUGAACCUCCUUCGUGCUAGGGAUUGGGGCUUGUAAUUCUUCCCCAUGAACGAGGAAUUCCCAGUAAGCGCGAGUCAUAAGCUCGCGUUGAUUACGUCCCUGCCCUUUGUACACACCGCCCGUCGCUACUAUCGAUUGGAUGGUUUAGUGAGAUCCUCGGAUUGGUCCCGGCGCGGCCUCUGGUCGUGCCGGAGUGCCGAAAAGAAUGUCGAACUUGAUCAUCUAGAGGAAGUAAAAGUCGUAACA
Molecule: ribosomal RNA, 330 nt
Filed under: uncultured eukaryote
Lineage: Eukaryota
Description: partial 18S ribosomal RNA
Rfam family: Eukaryotic small subunit ribosomal RNA
Source: RNAcentral